Molecule: ribosomal RNA, 460 nt
Filed under: uncultured bacterium
Lineage: Bacteria
Description: partial 16S ribosomal RNA
Rfam family: Bacterial small subunit ribosomal RNA
Source: RNAcentral
CCUACGGGAGACAGCAGUGAGGAAUAUUGGUCAAUGGACGAGAGUCUGAACCAGCCAAGUAGCGUGAAGGAUGACUGCCCUAUGGGUUGUAAACUUCUUUUAUAUGGGAAUAAAACGUUCCACGUGUGGGAUUUUGUAUGUACCAUAUGAAUAAGGAUCGGCUAACUCCGUGCCAGCAGCCGCGGUAAUACGGAGGAUCCGAGCGUUAUCCGGAUUUAUUGGGUUUAAAGGGAGCGUAGGUGGAUUGUUAAGUCAGUUGUGAAAGUUUGCGGCUCAACCGGAAAAUUGCAGUUGAAACUGGCAGUCUUGAGUACAGUAGAGGUGGGCGGAAUUCGUGGUGUAGCGGUGAAAUGCUUAGAUAUCACGAAGAACUCCGAUUGCGAAGGCAGUUCACUGGACUGCAACUGACACUGAGGCUCGAAAGUGUGGGUAUCAAACAGGAUUAGAUACCCUAGUAGUC